Molecule: transfer RNA, 72 nt
Filed under: Candidatus Colwellbacteria bacterium CG23_combo_of_CG06-09_8_20_14_all_42_19
Lineage: Bacteria; Candidatus Colwelliibacteriota
Description: tRNA-Arg
Rfam family: tRNA
About the family: Transfer RNA (tRNA) molecules are approximately 80 nucleotides in length. Their secondary structure includes four short double-helical elements and three loops (D, anti-codon, and T loops). Further hydrogen bonds mediate the characteristic L-shaped molecular structure. tRNAs have two regions of fundamental functional importance: the anti-codon, which is responsible for specific mRNA codon recognition, and the 3' end, to which the tRNAs corresponding amino acid is attached (by aminoacyl-tRNA synthetases). tRNAs cope with the degeneracy of the genetic code in two manners: having more than one tRNA (with a specific anti-codon) for a particular amino acid; and 'wobble' base-pairing, i.e. permitting non-standard base-pairing at the 3rd anti-codon position.
Source: RNAcentral
GCUCCCAUAGUUCAACGGAUAGAAUGCGAGCUUGCGGAGCUCGUGAUGUAGGUUCGAUUCCUGCUGGGAGCA